AGAGACUUAGGUUAACCACAAACCAGGAGCCUUCAAAGCUCAAAAUGGGGGUUAAAAUCCCUCAGCCUCUG
RNAcentral lists this transfer RNA (71 nucleotides) under Hyphessobrycon amandae (ember tetra). RNAcentral describes it as "tRNA-Trp". It matches the Rfam family "tRNA". From Rfam's summary of the family: Transfer RNA (tRNA) molecules are approximately 80 nucleotides in length. Their secondary structure includes four short double-helical elements and three loops (D, anti-codon, and T loops). Further hydrogen bonds mediate the characteristic L-shaped molecular structure. tRNAs have two regions of fundamental functional importance: the anti-codon, which is responsible for specific mRNA codon recognition, and the 3' end, to which the tRNAs corresponding amino acid is attached (by aminoacyl-tRNA synthetases). tRNAs cope with the degeneracy of the genetic code in two manners: having more than one tRNA (with a specific anti-codon) for a particular amino acid; and 'wobble' base-pairing, i.e. permitting non-standard base-pairing at the 3rd anti-codon position. The record is from RNAcentral. Lineage: Eukaryota; Metazoa; Chordata; Actinopteri; Characiformes; Acestrorhamphidae.